RNAcentral lists this ribosomal RNA (254 nucleotides) under uncultured bacterium. RNAcentral's name for it is "partial 16S ribosomal RNA". It matches the Rfam family "Bacterial small subunit ribosomal RNA", at positions 524 to 776 of the family's 1533-position model. The record is from RNAcentral.
UACGGGGGGAGCAAGCGUUGUUCGGAUUUACUGGGCGUAAAGGGCGCGUAGGCGGUCAGCACAAGUCAGUUGUGAAAUCUCCGAGCUUAACUCGGAAAGGUCAACUGAUACUGUGCGACUAGAGUGCGGAAGGGGCAACUGGAAUUCUUGGUGUAGCGGUGAAAUGCGUAGAUAUCAAGAGGAACACCAGUGGCGAAGGCGGGUCUCUGGGCCGAUACUGACGCUGAGGAGCGAAAGCGUGGGGAGCGAACAGG